UCAACCCAAUUCCUUCAAUCCAGACUCUUCUACCCACUCCAAGUGGUACAGGGUGGCAUGGGCGGAUGUGAUACAUUGUACCUUCAAGAGAUGAUGCUGCACCAGCACUGAGAUAGGAUUAGCCUUGAUCCCAUAAGUAGAGCACAGCAGCUCUUGAAGGACACAUGUGGGCUGCUGGCUCCAUGGGGCAUGUGCAAGCACACUGCCUGUCGGUCUGAGUGAAGAGAGAGAGAGAGCACCUGCAU
Molecule: long non-coding RNA, 245 nt
Organism: Chiroxiphia lanceolata (lance-tailed manakin)
Lineage: Eukaryota; Metazoa; Chordata; Aves; Passeriformes; Pipridae
Exons: 3
Source: RefSeq, a predicted model, not a curated record